Molecule: long non-coding RNA, 835 nt
Organism: Tympanuchus pallidicinctus (lesser prairie-chicken)
Lineage: Eukaryota; Metazoa; Chordata; Aves; Galliformes; Phasianidae
Exons: 3
Source: RefSeq, a predicted model, not a curated record
GCCUCAGCUGUCCCCAGACCGUCACAGAACUGUCCCCAGCAGUUGUGGUGCUCUCCAGGAACGCCUAAAACUGAUUGUGGCUGUCCGCAAGAAUCCUAAGCCUGAUCGUGGCCAUCCCCAAACCCUUCCAAACCCAACCGUGGCCAUCCCAUAACCCAAUCCCAACCAUGGCCAUUCUCUAACCCAAACCCAAACAUGGCCAUCCCCAAACCCAACCUUGCCCAUCCCCAAACCCUUCCAAACCCAACCAAUGUCCUCCCCUAACCCAUACCCAGCCAUGACCAUCCUCUAACCCAAACACAACUUUGGCCAUGUGCAAACCCUUCCAAACCCAAACCCUUCCAAGUCCAACCAUGGCCAUCCCCAAAACCAAACCCAGACUUUGUCAUCCCCAAACCCAACAGUGACCAUCCCCAAACCCAAAUCCAACCAUGGCCAUCCCCAAACCCAACCAUGGCCAUUCUCUAACGCAAACCCAACCAAGGCCAUCCCCUAACCCAAGCCCAAACAUGGCCAUCUCUAAACUCUUCCAAACCCAAACAUGGCCAUCCCCAAACCCAAAUCCAACCUUGGCCGUCUCCAAACCCAAACCCAACCAUGGUCAUCUCUAAACCCAAAUAUGGCCAUCCCCAAACCCAAACACAACCUUGCCCAUCCCCAAACCUUUCCAAACCCAACUAAGGCCGUCCCCAAACCCAAACCCAACCUUGGCCGUCCCCAAACCCAAUCCCAACCAUGGCCAUUCUCUAACCCAAACCCAACCACGGUCAUCCUCAAACUCUUCCAAAUCCAACCAUGGCCACCCCCAACCCAAACAUGGCCAUCCCCCAACCCA